UACAGAGGGUGCGAGCGUUAAUCGGAAUUACUGGGCGUAAAGCGUGCGUAGACGGUUAUUUAAGUCGGAUGUGAAAGCCCCGGGCUCAACCUGGGAAUUGCAUUCGAGACUGAAUAGCUAGGGUGCGGUAGAGGGAAGCGGAAUUUCCGGUGUAGCGGUGAAAUGCGUAGAUAUCGGAAGGAACAUCAGUGGCGAAGGCAAUCCCCUGGACCUGUACUGACGCUCAUGCACGAAAGCGUGGGGAGCAAACAGG
Molecule: ribosomal RNA, 253 nt
Filed under: uncultured bacterium
Lineage: Bacteria
Description: partial 16S ribosomal RNA
Rfam family: Bacterial small subunit ribosomal RNA
Source: RNAcentral